GACAAAGUUGGGACAAGCUCCAGCUGCGCAGCUAGGCAUUGGUCAGCAGGUUGCUGGAAGCAGGAUUUUUCUAGCCUUCCGGGGUGCCUCGGGUGGAAGCCGGCUAUUUCAAGUAGAAAUGCCCACGAGAUUGAUAGCUCCUUCAACUUCCCAAAUGCCUUGUUCUUUUAACUAGCUCCUGCUGCAAAGAGGCGAUCUAGCCACUGAAUUAAGCCAAUUACCUGAAAUAAAAGUUCUUACAAGGUGAAGUUAGUUUAAA
This is a long non-coding RNA of Mus musculus (house mouse), 259 nucleotides long. RefSeq annotates it as predicted gene, 46771. The transcript is spliced from 2 exons. Lineage: Eukaryota; Metazoa; Chordata; Mammalia; Rodentia; Muridae. The record is from RefSeq and is a predicted model, not a curated record.